RNAcentral lists this long non-coding RNA (1752 nucleotides) under Nicotiana benthamiana. RNAcentral describes it as "long non-coding RNA (NBEN_LNC037281)". The record is from RNAcentral. Lineage: Eukaryota; Viridiplantae; Streptophyta; Magnoliopsida; Solanales; Solanaceae.
CAUUUCUCGGCCUCAACCAUGUCCAACUCGCACGAAUCACACCAAAAAUCGGGCGAAUCGGCUCGCUAAGUUUACUGGUUCCCCCUUCUUCUCUUCUCCUUGUUCCACGUAGCAAAAUUCCAACGAUUUUCAUCAUUUCAAUCCAAUUCACGCGUCUCUUUGUUCUUUUUGUUCUUUCCGAAACAAAUUCGGACCCUUGAAUGAAUCUGGAGAGAAUGUGAACCAUUGGGUAAUGAUUUUUGUCCAAAAUUUCUAUUUUUUCGAUUUUUGUUGGUGAAAGGGGAUAUCAGGAUUUGAUUUGGUGGUCCCAUAAGCGUUUCUUGGAGAGGAGAAGAAGAAGCUUCUAGGGCUUCAUUUAUAUUGAGGGCCUUGGACAGAAUUUUGGAGGAAUUUUUGGAGAAAUUUCGGAUUGGAAUAAUUAGGGUUCUGUUCAGCUUCUUUUGAGAAUUUUUGCAUGGUUUUGCUUUUUUCAGAAAAAAAACCAAAAAUACAAAAAAUAUAGCUUGAGUUUAAAUUUUUGUUGAAACUUGUUUCCUUUUCGUAAAAUCAGAAAACACCCCAAAAAUAUUUUGAUUUCUUCCAAUCAAUUUCUGUCAAUCGAAAAUGGUUGAAGUUGCAUGAUUAACCCGAGGUUUGGAGCAGGUUGAUUUCCUGCUUGUCGUUCGAGGUCUGGUUGGUCUUAAUUGCGGUUCAUUCGAUUUUAUUGCUGUUUCUCGAAAGACUCAAGAAUCAAGGAGUGUAUAUUUGUUGAUUUUUCUACUAUUACAUUGAAGGCAACUUUCAUCACAUGUUCAUUUCUUUCCUUUUUAUUCUUGUUAAUGGUGGUUUGCUCUGUAGUGAUAGAUAUCUGAUCGUAUUUUAGUAGAGGCUAUGUUCGGAGUCCGUUCCUGAUUGCGACUUGUGUUUGAAAGAGGUUUUUCGAUCCAUGCUUGUCGUUCGAUGCAAUAUCUUGUCGUCUGAAUAGGAGUAACUGAAUACUGGAAUGUCCAGAUUGUAUUCGAGCCUCCAUAUUACAUUCAUUCGUCUUUGACUUAUUGACGUAUGAUCUGUUCCUUUCUGUUGGUUUGCAUUCUGCUCUGUGUCAUGUGUUUCAAAUGGUUGCUUAGUAUCCAUGCUAGAUUUUAAAUGGCUUUUACAUUGAGAUUCAAUUGAGGAGUUCUGUUGUUGUCUUGUGGUUGAACUAGUUUCUUGGGUAUCAAAAGUGGCAGAAUAUUUACACGUUAGAUUCAGAAUGAUAUGUCCAUUUGGUGAGGUUUAAGUUGAUCGAAUUCCCUGUUUGAGAUCGCAAAAUGUUUCGUGCUUCACUCUUUCUGUUGAUUAAGCUAUCAUUUACGUGAAUAAGUUUAAAAUUACUGAUUCUUUGCUUUCGAUUUUGUAAUGCUCGUGUGCUGGUUUGGCUGCUAGAAAACAUGAAUAUAGUUUGUCCUUCGUUGUUCCAUUGAAAUUCUCUGUUCUCACUAUUGAUUUUGGUACUAAACUUCUUAUUUCUUCACGAUCUGAUCAUGCAUUUUUGUAUUGGACAUCACUCACCGCUCAUGAGUUUCUUGAAGUGUCGUCUUGUAGCUCAGUCACAAUCAUGCAUUACUCUUACUGCGUUUAAGAUUAUCAUGUUGUUUUUCCUCACUGAAUUUGGUUGCUUAUUGGAAUCGAGAGAAUUAGUUUGGUCUUAAGAUUAAUUGCCCCAAGGAAAAUAUCACUAGAAUGCAUUUUAGCACAACAUAAUCUUCACCGUUCGAGUGGUAGCAUGUGAUG